Molecule: ribosomal RNA, 465 nt
Filed under: uncultured bacterium
Lineage: Bacteria
Description: partial 16S ribosomal RNA
Rfam family: Bacterial small subunit ribosomal RNA
Source: RNAcentral
CUACGGGAGGCUCCAGUGAGGAAUAUUGCACAAUGGGCGCAAGCCUGAUGCAGCCAUGCCGCGUGUAUGAAGAAGGCCUUCGGGUUGUAAAGUACUUUCAGCGGGGAGGAAGGGAGUAAAGUUAAUACCUUUGCUCAUUGACGUUACCCGCAGAAGAAGCACCGGCUAACUCCGUGCCAGCAGCCGCGGUAAUACGGAGGGUGCAAGCGUUAAUCGGAAUUACUGGGCGUGAAAGCGCACGCAGGCGGUUUGUUAAGUCAGAUGUGAAAUCCCCGGGCUCAACCUGGGAACUGCAUCUGAUACUGGCAAGCUUGAGUCUCGUAGAGGGGGGUAGAAUUCCAGGUGUAGCGGUGAAAUGCGUAGAGAUCUGGAGGAAUACCGGUGGCGAAGGCGGCCCCCUGGACGAAGACUGACGCUCAGGUGCGAAAGCGUGGGGAGCAAACAGGAUUAGAUACCCCAGUAGUC